CCUACGGGUGGCAGCAGUCGAGAAUCUUUCACAAUGGGGGAAACCCUGAUGGUGCGACGCCGCGUGGGGGAAUGAAGGUCUACGGAUUGUAAACCCCUGUUAUGUGGGAGCAAAUUAAAAAGCUAGUACCACAAGAGGAAUAGACGGCUAACUCUGUUCCAGCAGCCGCGUUAAUACAGAGGUCUCAAGCGUGGUUCGGAAUCACUGGUCGUAAGGGGUGCGUAGGCUGUUUCGUAAGUCGUGUGUGAAAGGCGCGGGCUCAACCCGCGAAGGGCAGAUGAUACUGCGAGACUAGAGUAAGGGAGGGGGAAGCGGAAUGCGCGGUGUAGCAGUGAAAUGCGUAGAUAUC
Molecule: ribosomal RNA, 349 nt
Filed under: uncultured bacterium
Lineage: Bacteria
Description: partial 16S ribosomal RNA
Rfam family: Bacterial small subunit ribosomal RNA
Source: RNAcentral